CUACCUGCAAGUCGAGCGGCAGCGACUUAACUGAGCCUUCGGGGAACGUUAAGGGCGGCGAGCGGCGGACGGGUGAGUAAUGCCUGGGAAUAUGCCCUGAUGUGGGGAAUAACUAUUGGAAACGAUAGCUAAUACCGCAUAAUCUCUUCGGAGCAAAGAGGGGGACCUUCAGGCCUCUCGCGUCAGGAUUAGCCCAGGUGGGAUUAGCUUGUUGGUGAGGUAAUGGCUCACCAAGGCGACGAUCCCUAGCUGGUCUGAGGGGAUGAUCAGCCACACUGGAACUGAGACACGGUCCAGACUCCUACGGGAGGCAGCAGUGGGGAAUAUUGCACAAUGGGGGAAACCCUGAUGCAGCCAUGCCGCGUGUGUGAAGAAGGCCUUCGGGUUGUAAAGCACUUUCAGUAGGGAGGAAGGUAGUGUAGUUAACACCUGCAUUAUUUGACGUUACCUACAGAAGAAGCACCGGCUAACUCCGUGCCAGCAGCCGCGGUAAUACGGAGGGUGCGAGCGUUAAUCGGAAUUACUGGGCGUAAAGCGCAUGCAGGCGGCCUGUUAAGUCAGAUGUGAAAGCCCGGGGCUUAACCUCGGAAUUGCAUUUGAAACUGGCAGGCUAGAGUCUUGUAGAGGGGGGUAGAAUUUCAGGUGUAGCGGUGAAAUGCGUAGAGAUCUGAAGGAAUACCAGUGGCAA
RNAcentral lists this ribosomal RNA (688 nucleotides) under uncultured Photobacterium sp. RNAcentral describes it as "bacterial SSU rRNA". It matches the Rfam family "Bacterial small subunit ribosomal RNA", at positions 51 to 718 of the family's 1533-position model. The record is from RNAcentral. Lineage: Bacteria; Pseudomonadati; Pseudomonadota; Gammaproteobacteria; Vibrionales; Vibrionaceae.